This 702-nucleotide long non-coding RNA is filed under the name Homo sapiens (human). RNAcentral's name for it is "HSALNT0407147". Lineage: Eukaryota; Metazoa; Chordata; Mammalia; Primates; Hominidae. The record is from RNAcentral.
GGGAUUCGCUAGCGGCGCCCUCUAGUGGCGUUUCGCGGAGCCUUGGCGGAAACCCUACUGGGAGCCGGUGUGUCCCCCAGUAACAUUUGCAAAUGAAAGAAGAGGCGACCUGAUGUCUAAUGAUGACACUGCUCUUAUGACCAAAGGAAUGUGAGCUCGUAUAUUCUUUUAGAAUUUCCUAAGGCACUCAUGAAAGGUGGCCGGGUACCACUGUAUCAAUGGCCCAGUUGCCCAUCUCCUGGCGAGAGAUUUCCCUAAGUGACCUGGAAGUGUCACUAUUACCACCGCCCCACAUGAAUCUUGUGCUGGAGGCGACUAGAGCUGUGUGUCCCUCAGCAGAAGCAGGUGGCAUAAGCAAGAGUUCCAUUUUGGUUUCAUUUUCAGAGGACCCCAAUUGCGCAGUCUGCAAGAAAUAAUGUGCCUCUCAGGAUGGUUCCAAGCUGAGCCCAAAUCACUGAGGGAGAUUCACUGCUUGCUAACAUGAACUUUAUUCCUGGAUAAACAAGUCCCAAACCGUCUUGUCCAUAUGCCACCACGGUCAGGUCAAAACACACAUUAUCAGCUGGGUGCGGUGGCUCACGCUUGUAAUCCCAGCACUUCGGGAGGCCGAGGUGGGCGGAUCACUUGAGGUCAGGAGUUGGAGAUCAGCCUGGCCAACAUGGUGAAACCCCGUCUCUACUAAAAAUACAAAAAUUAGCCGGG